GACGAACGCUGUCGGCGUGCUUAACACAUGCAAGUCGAACGGAAAGGCCCUGCUUUUGUGGGGUGCUCGAGUGGCGAACGGGUGAGUAACACGUGAGUAACCUGCCCUUGACUUUGGGAUAACUUCAGGAAACUGGGGCUAAUACCGGAUAGGAGCUCCUGCUGCAUGGUGGGGGUUGGAAAGUUUCGGCGGUUGGGGAUGGACUCGCGGCUUAUCAGCUUGUUGGUGGGGUAGUGGCUUACCAAGGCUUUGACGGGUAGCCGGCCUGAGAGGGUGACCGGCCACAUUGGGACUGAGAUACGGCCCAGACUCCUACGGGGGGCAGCAGUGGGGAAUAUUGCACAAUGGGCGGAAGCCUGAUGCAGCAACGCCGCGUGCGGGAUGACGGCCUUCGGGUUGUAAACCGCUUUCGCCUGUGACGAAGCGUGAGUGAUGGUAAUGGGUAAAGAAGCACCGGCUAACUACGUG
Molecule: ribosomal RNA, 468 nt
Filed under: uncultured bacterium
Lineage: Bacteria
Description: partial 16S ribosomal RNA
Rfam family: Bacterial small subunit ribosomal RNA
Source: RNAcentral